GACGAACGCUGGCGGCGUGCUUAACACAUGCAAGUCGAGCGAGGCCCCUCCUUCGGGAGGGUGUCCUAGCGGCGAACGGGUGAGUAACACGUGGGCAACCUGCCCCCGGCUCUGGGAUAACUCCAAGAAAUUGGGGCUAAUACCGGAUAUGACCGCUGACCGCAUGGUCUGGUGGUGGAAAGAUUUAUCGGCUGGGGAUGGGCCCGCGGCCUAUCAGCUUGUUGGUGGGGUAGUGGCCUACCAAGGCGACGACGGGUAGCCGGCCCGGGAGGGUGACCGGCCACACGGAGACUGAGGCACGGCCCAGACUCCUACGGGAGGCAGCAGUGGGGAAUAUGGCGCAAUGGGCGGAAGCCUGACGCAGCGACGCCGCGUGGGGGAUGACGGCCUUCGGGUUGUAAACCUCUUUCAGCAGGGACGAAGCGAAAGUGACGGUACCUGCAGAAGAAGCACCGGCCAACUACGUGCCAGCCGCCGCCGUAA
RNAcentral lists this ribosomal RNA (483 nucleotides) under uncultured bacterium. RNAcentral describes it as "partial 16S ribosomal RNA". It matches the Rfam family "Bacterial small subunit ribosomal RNA", at positions 28 to 523 of the family's 1533-position model. The record is from RNAcentral.